This 449-nucleotide ribosomal RNA is filed under the name uncultured bacterium. RNAcentral describes it as "bacterial SSU rRNA". It matches the Rfam family "Bacterial small subunit ribosomal RNA", at positions 29 to 523 of the family's 1533-position model. The record is from RNAcentral.
AACGAACGCUGGCGGCAUGCCUAACACAUGCAAGUCGAACGAAGUCUUCGGACUUAGUGGCGCACGGGUGCGUAACGCGUGGGAAUCUGCCCUUGGGUGCGGAAUAACUUCUCGAAAGGGAUGCUAAUACCGCAUAAUGUCGUAAGACCAAAGAUUUAUCGCCCAAGGAUGAGCCCGCGUAAGAUUAGCUAGUUGGUGGGGUAAAAGCCUACCAAGGCGACGAUCUUUAGCUGGUCUGAGAGGAUGAUCAGCCACACUGGGACUGAGACACGGCCCAGACUCCUACGGGAGGCAGCAGUGGGGAAUAUUGGACAAUGGGCGAAAGCCUGAUCCAGCAAUGCCGCGUGAGUGAUGAAGGCCCUAGGGUUGUAAAGCUCUUUUACCAGGGAUGAUAAUGACAGUACCUGGAGAAUAAGCUCCGGCUAACUCCGUGCCAGCAGCCGCGGUAA